This 512-nucleotide ribosomal RNA is filed under the name uncultured bacterium. RNAcentral's name for it is "partial 16S ribosomal RNA". It matches the Rfam family "Bacterial small subunit ribosomal RNA", at positions 28 to 523 of the family's 1533-position model. The record is from RNAcentral.
GACGAACGCUGGCGGCGUGCCUAAUACAUGCAAGUCAAGCGGAUUGAUGGGAGCUUGCUCCCUGAUAUCAGCGGCGGACGGGUGAGUAACACGUGGGCAACCUGCCUAUAAGACUGGGAUAACUUCGGGAAACCGGAGCUAAUACCGGAUAAUCCCUUUCCUCUCAUGAGGAAAGGCUGAAAGAUGGUUUACGCUAUCACUUAUAGAUGGGCCCGCGGCGCAUUAGCUAGUUGGUGAGGUAACGGCUCACCAAGGCAACGAUGCGUAGCCGACCUGAGAGGGUGAUCGGCCACACUGGGACUGAGACACGGCCCAGACUCCUACGGGAGGCAGCAGUAGGGAAUCUUCCGCAAUGGGCGAAAGUCUGACGGAGCAACGCCGCGUGAGUGAUGAAGGUUUUCGGAUCGUAAAACUCUGUUGUUAGGGAAGAACAAGUACGGGAGUAACUGCUCGUACCUUGACGGUACCUAACCAGAAAGCCACGGCUAACUACGUGCCAGCAGCCGCCGUAA